ACGAGACAGGAUAGGGUCCCGCCUUACAAAUUGGGGAACAGAUAAAAAAACCUAGAGCCAAGCGGUAAAACAAGACCUUCCUGCUCCUCCUCCCCUCACCCGGCGGCGGCUCCCCACCCCUGCCUGCGCACCGCCUCUUCCUCCUUCUGACAGCGGCAGCGGUGAGCAUGAGAGCAGCGGAAGCGGCUGGACACCAUAAGCUGGCCGAGGUGGUCUACGUCGAGGAACGGCCGCGCCCGACGCCGUCCUCCAACCCGUACUUCCCAACCCGAUGCAUGCCCAAGGAUUCCGGCGCACCUCGAAGGAAGGACCAAGGCCUGAGACGACUUGUCUUGUCCUCUUCUUCCUCUAACAUCUCCCUGCCGGCUGCUGCUUAUUAGGGAGGGAGGGAGGGAGGGGAAAAGAUAGAUGGCGGCGGCGGCUGGACCUGGCUGAGUUGUUUGGGGAGCUGCGCACACGUCGAGCGACGGCGAGCGCAUCCGACGCCGACACACCGAGCAAGGAGGUCUGUGCGAGUUAGAGGCUAUAUGAGACAAGGGCUUGCUCCUAUUAAAUGGAAGGGCCAUAAUUAUUAGUCCAAGUGAUAUUGAAGUUACAUUUGAGAAUUUUCCCUACUACCUUAGCGAGAAUACGAAGGAUGUGCUCCUAUCAUGUUCAUUCUUACAUUUGGAAAAGAAGGGAUUCAUUGAGCAGUUCUCCGAAAUUUCUUCAAUAAACCAGCGAAUUUAUCAUCUGGUCCAUCAGGGAAUAAAGGUGAGAGAGCAAAUGAGUUUCUGAAGUCAGAUGAGAUUAUAUAGCAGGUUGACUCUUUGUAGUGCUGGUUCAGAUGUAGGUCAGGUUACAUGUUAGCCAAAAAAACACAUUAUAUUGCCUUUGUUUUUUACAUCGAGGUGUAAAUGUUGAGAAGUAUAUUAUUCUGAUUGAUAAUAGUUUAAGGAGCAUUACAAAGGAUCGCUACAAAGAAUUUGAAGGAUUCAAGGAAAUGUUUUCUCAGUCUUAUCCAUCACAUAACUUUGGGUUCUAUCAUUUGUGUGGCACAUACAUUUGUAAAGAAGUGAACUGUAUUUGCAACUCUAAAUUUUAAUCAAUGCAAAUCGACAACUAA
Molecule: long non-coding RNA, 1105 nt
Organism: Triticum aestivum (bread wheat)
Lineage: Eukaryota; Viridiplantae; Streptophyta; Magnoliopsida; Poales; Poaceae
Exons: 4
Source: RefSeq, a predicted model, not a curated record